UCCCUUGGGCCACAUUUGGAUGCUGUCCAUU
RNAcentral lists this non-coding RNA (31 nucleotides) under Rattus norvegicus (Norway rat). The record is from RNAcentral. Lineage: Eukaryota; Metazoa; Chordata; Mammalia; Rodentia; Muridae.